GAGGCGGAUGAGCGCCUGGUGGUCUCCCCUGCCUUCAAAGCAGGUGGUCCCGAGGACCUCGGGACGGCGGGUUCGAUCCCCGCCCGCCUCC
Molecule: transfer RNA, 91 nt
Filed under: Actinomadura harenae
Lineage: Bacteria; Bacillati; Actinomycetota; Actinomycetes; Streptosporangiales; Thermomonosporaceae
Description: Actinomadura sp. NEAU-Ht49 tRNA-Sec
Rfam family: Selenocysteine transfer RNA
Source: RNAcentral